GCGUGGUAAUGGGUUCACUGGGGUCCCUUCUCUGUGGGCCUCAUAGCGUACCCAUGCCAGUGUAAACUUCAGCCUUGAACCAUUGCCCAGCCUCCUUCCCAUGGGCUGUGUGUAGCGAAGGGGGUUGCACAGUG
This is a small nucleolar RNA of Gorilla gorilla gorilla (western lowland gorilla), 134 nucleotides long. The record is from Ensembl. Lineage: Eukaryota; Metazoa; Chordata; Mammalia; Primates; Hominidae.